RNAcentral lists this ribosomal RNA (544 nucleotides) under Photobacterium angustum. Its description in RNAcentral is "bacterial SSU rRNA". It matches the Rfam family "Bacterial small subunit ribosomal RNA", at positions 998 to 1533 of the family's 1533-position model. The record is from RNAcentral. Lineage: Bacteria; Pseudomonadati; Pseudomonadota; Gammaproteobacteria; Vibrionales; Vibrionaceae.
UUCCAGAGAUGGAUUGGUGCCUUCGGGAACUCUGAGACAGGUGCUGCAUGGCUGUCGUCAGCUCGUGUUGUGAAAUGUUGGGUUAAGUCCCGCAACGAGCGCAACCCUUAUCCUUGUUUGCCAGCACAUAAUGGUGGGAACUCCAGGGAGACUGCCGGUGAUAAACCGGAGGAAGGUGGGGACGACGUCAAGUCAUCAUGGCCCUUACGAGUAGGGCUACACACGUGCUACAAUGGCGUAUACAGAGGGCUGCCAACUAGCGAUAGUGAGCGAAUCCCAGAAAGUACGUCGUAGUCCGGAUUGGAGUCUGCAACUCGACUCCAUGAAGUCGGAAUCGCUAGUAAUCGUGAAUCAGAAUGUCACGGUGAAUACGUUCCCGGGCCUUGUACACACCGCCCGUCACACCAUGGGAGUGGGCUGCACCAGAAGUAGAUAGCUUAACCUUCGGGAGGGCGUUUACCACGGUGUGGUUCAUGACUGGGGUGAAGUCGUAACAAGGUAGCCCUAGGGGAACCUGGGGCUGGAUCACCUCCUUACCUAAAGA